This 2979-nucleotide long non-coding RNA is filed under the name Olea europaea subsp. europaea. The record is from RNAcentral. Lineage: Eukaryota; Viridiplantae; Streptophyta; Magnoliopsida; Lamiales; Oleaceae.
UGAUGAUAGGCAAAUUUUUUUGCUUCAAGUGAAAAAAUGCCUCUUUGAUUUUACCAAACUAAAAAUUACCCCACUACAAAACACGGAGACGAGGAAAAAAAGAAAAAAGAAAAUAAAGAAAAAUGAUGAGAACAAGAUUGUUAUGGUUUACUCUGGGUUUUGCAUCCACCUCCGCAGUAAUGACUCACUUUGUUUUCAAAGAUCUAUGGAUAGAUCGCAAAGGCAUCUUUUUCCAGGUAAUUUUGUAUAAAUUCAAACAUAUAUGCAUAUGAAUUGUAUUGAUUUAUAUCAAUUUUUUUUUUUUAAUUCUGUUUUUUGGUUGCAGUUGAAUGAAAAAUUUAAUUCUUUGGACACCCGAGUUUCGAAUCUGGAAUCCUUUCUUCCUCAUGAACACGCUCCACAGCAAGUACGGUUUUCUCCUCCAAUAUGUUAUGAUUUUUUAUUUUUUUUUAUCCUUUUCGUUUUGACAAGGUUUGAUUUUUAAGUUGGAAUCCAAGAUAAUAAUAACUAAUGAUUAAGGCUUGGGCUGGUCCCAUCGAAGGUUGACAAGGAACCCCAGGACUCAAUAGGAAAGAAUCAAAGUCGAAGUUUGGGUAGAGAAAAAUCUGUUGGUUUGUUAAAAAUUAAAAAUGAAGCCAGACUUGUUGUAUGGUGUAGCAAAUUUUACGUUUCUUAUUUGAAUCGGUAUCUUGGAAUGAACUGGAAUUUUGUUUAUAUUCUUCCAUUUUGUGGUGUAAAAACUAUUUAUAGUUGCGUUUGGUGUUUCGAGCAGAUGGUCAAGAAAUAGCUGCAAUUAUUUGUGGGAUACAUGUUUUAGUGUUCAGGUCAUGAUUUUUAAAACUGGAUAUGAAAAAUGUACAAAUUCAAACUAUUAAUAAUGUCUAAUCUGCAUUUGUUUUUUGAUGAAUUGAUAUCUUUUUCCUCUUAUCAAUGAGCUCCCAUUACUUGAGUGUAAUCAAUUUUUAUCUUGACAUAGAAUCACCAUGAUGGAGAAUAUUGAAUAAUGGAUAGAUCGUAAAUGUAACAAUUGCUUAAGAUUGUUCUUACAUAUGAAUCACUUUGCUAAACAAUGUCAUUAUGAGAGAUUCUAUUGUCUAUCUCAAAUCUUUGUAAGGUCUAAUUGGAGUUGACAUGAUAAUUCAUGUAGCAGUUGAAACACGUGUUCUAUUUUUCCCAAAUUAUUCAUCCCAUUGGUGGUUCAUCUAUUGGGAUUUGUCUCUUUAUGUUGAAAUUUUCUUGGAGAAGACUUGUGUAGAAAACUGAAUACUAAGAACUUAGAAGAUAUUGCUUUCUUUCUUUCUUUCGUUUGUUCGUUCUUUCUUUCUUUCUUUCUUUUUCUUUUUUGAGAAAAUGAACUUUUCGUGUGUGACAUCACAUAACGCUAAGUAGGACUUAUUGGGACUGAGUUGAAUAAUACUUGCAAACUUUAAGCUUUUUCUAAUAGAAAGUGGUGAGAUCCCAGAAUAAUGAUGUUAUAAAAUGAUAUUCCAGAGUUCCUUUAGGUCGGCUUACUUUUUUCUUUGUUUGAUCACACAAGCUUGUCAAUGAGGAAAGUCAGCGGAAACUACAUAAAAGAUUCAAAUAUUUAGUGAAAAUGCAAGGUGUUUUAUUUUUUGCCAUAUUGUGAACCUGUCAUCUUAUUAACACUUUGUUGAUUGUUCUUUUGACGGGCAUGAUAGAGGACUGAAGUAAGUUAAUACUUAAAUUUUAUCACAUCUUAUGAUGUAAAUCCUAAAUCUACUACUAAAAGCAAUAAUCAGAAUACUCAUCUGGGAAAACACAGUCACAACAUCACUUCUAAGGUAAUAGGAUUCCUGCAACAUCUGUCUCUCCAAAUAUUUUGAUCAAUUUGUCCCAUGGUAAGUUGGAAAAAAAAAAAAGGAAGUCUAAUACAUCAGUUCAAAGUAAUAAACAACAAACUUACGUGUUGAUUACAAAAAAAUUACAUACAAGUUGUUUAAACCUGUAAAAGUAAACUGGACUUUUCCUUCAACUCUUACUCUAUGUUUUUUCUCUAGGAAUGCUCAUAUGGUCAAAAAAUUUAAAUGUGUGUACUGUAGGCUAUGUCCCCAUUAUAUAAGUUCGUAGUUUCUUUCACUGCAGUGUUUACAUAAUGUUUCCACUUUCCACCGAAGCAGGUUUAUUUAGUACUGGAUAUAUGUAUUUCAAAUUAAUUUCAUCAAUUAUAUUGAAAAAUGACACUCACGGAAUUAAUGCUAAUAGUGAUAGAGUGGAUGUCAUUUUUCUUUAUAUAUUUGGCGAUUAUUCAAAGUGAUAGAAAAAUUAUUUAUACUUGAAAUUGUUGUGAUAUCCUCAUGUGCAAGGAUCACGAAAAUUAGUUUCCACUGUGAUUGUAAGGCCUUGAGGUGUCUCUUAUCACAUAAUCAUGUUGAGUAUUUCUUGUCUUAGUAUAAAUCAAUUCAUCACAUAGUUUUCUUAUGUUGUAACUUGUGCAUUUGCGCUUCCAUUCUCUCCUUCUUGCAGGACGAAGGCAAUUUGUAAUGGCGCUUCAGCAUUUUUUCUAUAGCCUUUCCCUUAGUUUGUCAAGCUUUCUCAUGACAUCUUUUGCUGAUGAAGUCAGUUUGCAGAAAAUCUAUAUCAUGCUUGGCCUUUUAGCCCUUUGUUUUUAAUGUAUUUUGCACAAGUUUGUGGUGGCUUGGUAUGACAGUGUUUUUCCGCCAAGAGGCCACAAGAUCGACAUUAUUUAUUUUCGAUCAAGAGCAUUGCUAAUUAGCCAUUGAAAAAAAUAAUAAUAGUAAUAGAAUUUUCAGUUUAUAUAUGUAUCUUCUAAGAACAAAACAAGAAAAGGUAAAAUAAAAUCACAAGGGUUUUUUUAGUUGCUAGAACCAGUCUGCUCAAUAAUUUGAACUGAAGCUGCUUCUUGCUGGAAAUCAAUCGUCUAAGAAGAAAAAGUAAAGGGAUAAAUACAAAUUAGCUAAGUUGGAUGAAGCAUAGAGCAUUUGAUCCAUCGAAUCUAUC